UGGGAAAUGAUGAUGCCUGUGACUGCUGACAAGACUCUGAUCUCUGUCGUAUUCGUACUGGCUGAUCCCA
Small nucleolar RNA from Microtus ochrogaster (prairie vole), 70 nucleotides. Lineage: Eukaryota; Metazoa; Chordata; Mammalia; Rodentia; Cricetidae. The record is from Ensembl.